GAACCUGCGGAAGGAUCAUUACCGAGUGAGGGCCCUCUGGGUCCAACCUCCCACCCGUGUUUAUUUUACCUUGUUGCUUCGGCGGGCCCGCCUUAACUGGCCGCCGGGGGGCUUACGCCCCCGGGCCCGCGCCCGCCGAAGACACCCUCGAACUCUGUCUGAAGAUUGAAGUCUGAGUGAAAAUAUAAAUUAUUUAAAACUUUCAACAACGGAUCUCUUGGUUCCGGCAUCGAUGAAGAACGCAGCGAAAUGCGAUACGUAAUGUGAAUUGCAAAUUCAGUGAAUCAUCGAGUCUUUGAACGCACAUUGCGCCCCCUGGUAUUCCGGGGGGCAUGCCUGUCCGAGCGUCAUUGCUGCCCUCAAGCCCGGCUUGUGUGUUGGGCCCCGUCCCCCGAUCUCCGGGGGACGGGCCCGAAAGGCAGCGGCGGCACCGCGUCCGGUCCUCGAGCGUAUGGGGCUUUGUCACCCGCUCUGUAGGCCCGGCCGGCGCUUGCCGAUCAACCCAAAUUUUUAUCCGGGUUGACCUCGGAUCAGGUAGGGAUACCCGCUGAGCUUAAGCAUAUCA
This 565-nucleotide ribosomal RNA is filed under the name fungal endophyte. RNAcentral describes it as "eukaryotic LSU rRNA". The stretch from base 198 to 350 matches the Rfam family "5.8S ribosomal RNA". The record is from RNAcentral. Lineage: Eukaryota; Fungi.